CAUGAUUCUCCCUCGAAUAUAACCACAGUGUCAUCAGCGAAACCUAUAAACUGUCCCUCACCUCUCAUCUCCAGUAGACUAUUUAUGUAUAUGAGAAAGAGAAGUGGUCCAAGAACCGUGCCCUGUGGAACUCCAAAAAUCUAGGCCCAAAAUGACAGGAUAAUGAUCUGUUACGAGAUGCUGCAGAAUGUCAGCAUCAGCAUCGUCACCUCCGGGGCUAAAACCUCUCACAAAAAAAUGAUCGAGACAAGUUCCGCUGUCUGGACGCGUUGGAAGAUUUAUCAUAGAGGCGAACCCAUAUGAGGAUAAAAUGUUCUUAUAUUCCUCUACUAAAUUGUCAUGACUGAGUAUUUCCUUAUCUCAAUGUUGAACGACUCUAAAGCUGUCCCUGGCGACCGAUAUAUGGCGGACAGUUUGAAGUUUUCUCCAUUCGAUGUUUUUAUAUCAAUAUCUAAUAAGUUAGAGUAAUCAAUUUUGAUUAUUUGGCAUUUAUAAUUAAUGUUUUCUUUGAUAUAUACUAAUACACCGUCAUUUUUGUAAAAUUUUCCUUCAUUAUAAACAAUAUUAUA
Molecule: long non-coding RNA, 569 nt
Organism: Harmonia axyridis
Lineage: Eukaryota; Metazoa; Arthropoda; Insecta; Coleoptera; Coccinellidae
Exons: 3
Source: RefSeq, a predicted model, not a curated record